RNAcentral lists this ribosomal RNA (409 nucleotides) under bacterium. RNAcentral describes it as "partial 16S ribosomal RNA". It matches the Rfam family "Bacterial small subunit ribosomal RNA", at positions 355 to 776 of the family's 1533-position model. The record is from RNAcentral.
UGGGGAAUAUUGCACAAUGGGCGAAAGCCUGAUGCAGCGACGCCGCGUGAGGGAUGACGGCCUUCGGGUUGUAAACCUCUUUCAGUAGGGACGAAGCGCAAGUGACGGUACCUGCAGAAGAAGCACCGGCUAACUACGUGCCAGCAGCCGCGGUAAUACGUAGGGUGCGAUCGUUGUCCGGAAUUACUGGGCGUAAAGAGCUCGUAGGCGGUUUGUCACGUCGUCUGUGAAAUCCUAGGGCUUAACCCUGGACGUGCAGGCGAUACGGGCUGACUUGAGUACUACAGGGGAGACUGGAAUUUCUGGUGUAGCGGUGGAAUGCACAGAUAUCAGGAAGAACACCGAUGGCGAAGGCAGGUCUCUGGGUAGUAACUGACGCUGAGGAGCGAAAGCAUGGGUAGCGAACAGG